RNAcentral lists this long non-coding RNA (643 nucleotides) under Rattus norvegicus (Norway rat). Its description in RNAcentral is "long non-coding RNA NONRATT027719". The record is from RNAcentral. Lineage: Eukaryota; Metazoa; Chordata; Mammalia; Rodentia; Muridae.
CUGUCUCUUGAGUCUUCCCCCUGGUCAUAAAGUAUUUAGGAGCCCAGGGUCUUAGGCUUGGACCCAUCUGAUUUCAAGUCCCCCUGGCCCUAUCAUCCUGCAGCUGUCGUGGCUUCUCACUGCCACAAGGUGUCACUAUGAGCCUGGUCCUGGGGCAGCAGAUAACAGUAAGGUCCACAGAUGCUCUAUGCUUGGAUUCCUGAGAUCUUGGGCCCUGCCAUCACCCACUCCAGUCCUGGUGUCUGUGUCUCACAGAGGAUGCCUCCUCUAGUAGAUCCUCAAAAACAAAGCAUCUGGGCUGUCGAGACAGUUUGGUGGGCAGAUGCACCUUAGUGCAGGCCUGAUGACCUAAGCUCAGUGCCCACACAAAGUAACAGGAGAGGACUGACUCCUUAGUUAUGACCUUUACAUGUGCCUGCACGCACAGGCACACGCACAUGCACACACACACAGGCACAGGCACAGAGGCACACACACACACACACACACACACACACACGCAUGCACGCACAGAGGCACAUACACAUGCACACAACACACACAGGCACAGGCACAGGCACACAUGCACACCACAUGCACAAAUACCUGUACACACUCUCACACAUGCAUCCACACAACUAAACAGAUAAAAUAUUAAAAAGAA